RNAcentral lists this ribosomal RNA (322 nucleotides) under uncultured eukaryote. RNAcentral's name for it is "partial 18S ribosomal RNA". It matches the Rfam family "Eukaryotic small subunit ribosomal RNA", at positions 1470 to 1796 of the family's 1831-position model. The record is from RNAcentral.
CCCUCAGAUGUUCUGGGCCGCACGCGUGCUACACUGAGUAAUUCAAUGGGUAAGGGAACGCUAGAGCAUUACCUAAUCUUGAAAUUUGCUCGUGAUGGGGAUCGACGGUUGCAAUUUUCCGUCGUGAACGAGGAAUACCUUGUAGGCGCAUGUCAUCAUCAUGCGCCGAAUACGUCCCUGCCCUUUGUACACACCGCCCGUCGCUCCUACCGAUUGAGUGAUCCGGUGAGGCUCUGGGACCUGGACGGAAAGAGCGCUUCGCUUGUUCUGUUUGGGAAACUUGGUCGAACCUUAUCAUUUAGAGGAAGGAGAAGUCGUAACA